AAUCUCUUAAGGAGCUCCCUACAUCCAGGCCCAAUAUCCACUGACACAGGAGGUUAAGCUUCCGUAUUUUAGCAUUACUGGCCUUCUGCUAAAGCAUAAACCGGUCCUGAGUAUAAGACUGAUUUGCCUAAUUCCUACCCACAAGAGCGGAAAUACUGUGCCUUGUUAUUGAGUAACUCUGAUGAAGGAAAGAGAUCUGUUUUCUGUAAUGUAGGCCCCAGGCUGUGUCAAGGCAUUUUCCAAGCUUAGCACCGAGUUAUGCAUUUCUUAAGAUAAGAGAGUUUCAAUGCUAGAAGGAUGAGUGGACACUCUCAAGACCAUACUGAUGUCUGGCUUUGGUGCUUUUGCUCAUCUGUUCAUGGGGUCAUGUUGGAGCUCACCCUAGCUGUGAGGAGGGAAAGCAAACAGUAUAAACUCCCAUCUGCGGCUCCAGGCAAGUCAGCAUUAGGGAUUUAUCUGUUGCCUGAAAUGCUACCAGGAAGCAUUUCAUUCCCUUACUCCAAACCCUGCAAAAUACUCUUUUUCUUUGUUCUUAAUUAAAUCCCCAGGUAGGUUCAGGAGCACAGAUCCUGUGGCAGAAGUGAGUGUUAUGACUUGAAAGAAGCCACUGGUGCUGAAGCAGAGGGAGCAGGGGCCAGAGAGGUACAAGAUGGGGCAAUGAAGGACAGUAUGUGAAGUGACUCACAGGUCCAGGGCAGUUAACCAUGUAUGUCAAAGCCAGGAAAGCAAGAACUGGUUGGGGGGGGGAGGAGCAUUGAAAUGGUAAUAAUAUUGAACAGGGAAGUUAAGCAGAGGAUAGAAAGGAAGAAAGGCUUUAUUGGUUUUAUGAUUCUUUGUAAUAUAAGCCCUAAUGGAUAUGGCCAUAACCCAUAUUCCACCUACUGGUGGAUCUAUAAGUGAUUUCUCCUGCUGGAAAUCAGGGCUGCAAGUGGGUGUGGGGGACAGUGGUUGUUUUCUCUGCCUCGUCUGGUCCAACCCCCCGAGGUGCUCAAGUCCUGUUUCUCCUCCUGGUCACUAGAAAUAGCAAGUUGACUUCUCCCUGGACAGACUCAGUAACUCAAAGGCAUCCCUCUCUGUGUUGAGACCAGACCACUUGGCAGUUGCCUGAAUGGAGUUGGUUACUGUGGGACUGAACACAUCUUGGGAGAUUUUGACACAUUUUGUAGGGAAAACAUGUGAAAUUAGUUCAAGCAAGUUGCUAGGUAUUUGCACUUGGUGAGGAAUGUGACUACAUUUUAUUACCUGUUCAACAAGCCUCCUGGAGAAGGAGAACCAAGGCCUGUCACGUUCACAGCUUCCCACAACACUGAGCACUGAGGGAGAAUCUAGAUGGUCAGUCCUCAGGGUAUUUCAUUUCUGUCCUCUCUGCUCUAUGGCCGCUUGAAUGAAGGUGGCUUGCUGGGCCACACUUCUGCGUCUUUAAACUAAAUGACUCCUGAGAAUUGAGUUACAGCCUUACCUGAAACUGUUCAAUGGGUUUUCAUGGCUCUUGGAAUAAAGAGCCAACCCUCAGAUGGCCAACAGACUUUGCCUGCAUUGGCCCCUCCCCAUAUACCCUCCCCUACCUUGUACCAGACUGGCCCUUGUUCCCUCUGCUUCGGCCCCAGUGGCUUCUUCCAGUCAUGACACUUGCUCUGCUACAGGGUCUUUGCCCCUAAGCCCAGUGUCUGAACCCCUCUGUCACUCUCCCUGCCCUCACUUCUUCUCUCCUGGUUACCUGCCACUCACCUGCUGAUCUCAGGGCAGCCUCCACACUAAAGGCCUAUUGUAAGUCAAGGCCUAUUGUUAUACACUCUGUAACAAUUACUACAGGUAAAAUUGUACAUUCGUUUGUGUGAUUCAUUAAUUUGUUUGUCUUCUACCCCAGCCUGCAAUAUCCAUGAGAGUAGGGAGUGUCUGAGCUGUUGGAGACACAUAACAAAGAUGUGUGGAAGGAAGGGAGGGAGGGAGGGAGGAAGAGAGGGAGGCAAAGGAGGAAGACAAGUAUGUGAAUGUAAUUCUUUCUAAUUUGAUAGAAAGGAAAAAAAUGUCAUAUAUAUGAAAAGCAUUUCUAUAUUCUAACUCUGAAUUAUUAAAAUUAUCAUCAAAACAUAA
Herpailurus yagouaroundi (jaguarundi) is the source of this 2094-nucleotide long non-coding RNA. RefSeq lists it as uncharacterized. The transcript is spliced from 2 exons. The record is from RefSeq and is a predicted model, not a curated record. NCBI's taxonomy places the organism in Eukaryota, Metazoa, Chordata, Mammalia, Carnivora, Felidae.